This 106-nucleotide ribosomal RNA is filed under the name Pogona vitticeps (central bearded dragon). The record is from RNAcentral. Lineage: Eukaryota; Metazoa; Chordata; Lepidosauria; Squamata; Agamidae.
UCCUGAGUUAGCUACCCGCUCUCGUCUGAGUUCAGAAGCUAAGCAGAGUCAGGCCUGGCUAGUGCUUGGAUGGGAGGCCACCCCAGAAUUCAUGGGAUCUCUGGAA